CGUUCUGUUGGCCGGCCUGUGCACGUGGACCCUCGCCGGAGACAGACGACGAGAAAUAAAGAAAAUAGAUCCAGGGGAUAUAGACUAGACAAUAGUCUAAUACCCUAUAAAAGAAGAAAAGAAGAAGAAGAAGAAGACAGCGAAAAAAUAUUUAUUGCGAUAAAUCUUCAAAGCGGCUUUACUCAUCUGUGUUUAAAUAUGGGGUUUGAUUUCCAAAAACAUAGACGUCCCCUUGUCAUGGGCAGCAUAUUCGCCGUGUUGUCACUGGUGUAUACUUUUCGACUUGAUCUAAUCGGAGACAUUUCAAAAGAGAAACAAGAUCUUCUCCGACAGACAGAUGUCAGUGGCAGCAAUAAGAUAAAGGAAACCAUAAGAGAGACCCAGCUUGAUUAUUUCAGAAAUUUAUCUGGGGAAAAGAAAUAAUUAUGGACUCUUUCCUGUAAGGCUGAAUAUUCAGACAACUGUGAUAGGGGUGCUGGAAGGCCAGAAGAUUGGCACUUCCAGAACUUUGUAAAUAGAUGAAACACCCCGUUUAAUCAGCUGAUGCUUGUUUACUGUUGUAAACCAUUGUCAGAUCAUGCAUAUUUUGAGGACUUUCCUUUAUACAUUUUUUUGUCAUUAAUUUUGUCAAUGUUUACUAUUGAAUUGUAGGUUGUAAGUGCAAUUAGAGUUAUAUUUAUGAUUUGAAUAGUAAUAAAGCAUUUUAAAGUUA
Penaeus indicus is the source of this 712-nucleotide long non-coding RNA. RefSeq lists it as uncharacterized. The record is from RefSeq and is a predicted model, not a curated record. The transcript has 3 exons. Lineage: Eukaryota; Metazoa; Arthropoda; Malacostraca; Decapoda; Penaeidae.